GACGUAGGGCGCGAGCGUUGUCCGGAUUUAUUGGGCGUAAAGAGCUCGUAGGCGGCUUGUCGCGUCGUCCGUGAAAACUUGGGGCUCAACCCCAAGCUUGCGGUCGAUACGGGCAGGCUAGAGUUCGGUAGGGGAGACUGGAAUUCCUGGUGUAGCGGUGAAAUGCGCAGAUAUCAGGAGGAACACCGGAGGCGAAGGCGGGUCUCUAGUACGGUACUGACGCUGAGACGCGAAAGCGUGGGGAGCGAACAGG
This 253-nucleotide ribosomal RNA is filed under the name uncultured bacterium. RNAcentral describes it as "partial 16S ribosomal RNA". It matches the Rfam family "Bacterial small subunit ribosomal RNA", at positions 524 to 776 of the family's 1533-position model. The record is from RNAcentral.